AGUUUGAUCCUGGCUCAGAAUAAACGCUAGCGGCGUGCCUUAUGCAUGCAAGUCGAACGGUCUCGAUUUAUCGAGAUAGUGGCGAACGGGUGAGUAACGCGUAAGUAACCUGCCCCUAAGUAGGGGAUAACUCUGAGAAAUUAGAGCUAAUACUGUAUGUGGUGGUGGGGGUAAUGCUUCAUCACUAAAGCCUUAGGGCGCUUAGGGAGGGGCUUGCGUCCGAUUAGCUAGUUGGUAGGGUAAUGGUUUACCAAGGCGAUGAUCGGUAGCUGGUUUGAGAGGACAUCCAGCCACACUGGGAUUGAGAUACGGCCCAGACUCCUACGGGGGGCAGCAGCAAGGAAUUUUGUGCAAUGGGCGAAAGCCUGACACAGCGACGCCGCGUGGGGGAUGAAGGCCUUCGGGUUGUAAACCCCUUUUCUCAGGGAAGAAUAAUGACGGUACCUGAGGAAUAAGUCGUGGCUAACUACGUGCCAGCAGCCGCGGUAAUACGUAGGCGGCGAGCGUUAUCCGGAUUUACUGGGCGUAAAGAGGGCGUAGGCAGUUUUUCAAGUCGAUUGUAAAAUCUCCCGGCUUAACUGGGAGGGGCCAGUCGAUACUGUUAGACUAGAGAGCAGCAGGGGGAGGUGGAAUUCCCGGUGUAGUGGUGAAAUGUGUAGAUAUCGGGGGGAACACCAGUGGCGAAGGCGGCCUCCUAGGCUGUUUCUGACGCUGAGGUCCGAAAGCGUGGGGAGCAAACAGGAUCAGAUACCCUGGUAGUCCACGCUGUAAACUAUGGACACUAGGUAUAGGGAGUAUCGACCCUCUCUG
Molecule: ribosomal RNA, 810 nt
Filed under: uncultured bacterium
Lineage: Bacteria
Description: bacterial SSU rRNA
Rfam family: Bacterial small subunit ribosomal RNA
Source: RNAcentral